ACGAACCGUACGAACGUUAUUCGGAAUUACUGGGCUUAAAGAGUGCGUAGGCGGCUUGGCAGGUUGGGUGUGAAAGCCCUCGGCUCAACCGAGGAAUAGCGCUCAAAACCGCCAAGCUUGAGGGAGAUAGAGGUGAGCGGAACUGAUGGUGGAGCGGUGAAAUGCGUUGAUAUCAUCAGGAACACCGGUGGCGAAAGCGGCUCACUGGGUCUCUUCUGACGCUGAGGCACGAAAGCUAGGGGAGCGAACGGG
This 252-nucleotide ribosomal RNA is filed under the name uncultured bacterium. RNAcentral's name for it is "partial 16S ribosomal RNA". It matches the Rfam family "Bacterial small subunit ribosomal RNA", at positions 525 to 776 of the family's 1533-position model. The record is from RNAcentral.